This 294-nucleotide long non-coding RNA is filed under the name Oryza brachyantha (malo sina). RNAcentral describes it as "long non-coding RNA (OBRA_LNC002124)". Lineage: Eukaryota; Viridiplantae; Streptophyta; Magnoliopsida; Poales; Poaceae. The record is from RNAcentral.
CGUCGAGAACAAGCUUGCUGUUGCGGGCGGCAUACAUCAUAGUCUCGAAUGUUAAACCAUUAUUCGAACCAUAAUUUCUUAAGUCAUUAGCAUCCAGAAUUUGUUGGGUAGUUAACUUUAACAACUUUACUCCUUUUAUAAACUCAAUACUUUUGAUAGCAGAUUUUGACUAGAAGACAUAACAACAAUCUAAAGUAGAUGGUUAGUCAAAUACACUUGCUAAUAUAGAAAUAGCUGCAUAAAGUUUUUAUUUCUAAUCUGAAUCUAAUUGAUCUUCGGGAGGAUUUACAUCAC